GAUGAACGCUGGCGGCGUGCCUAACACAUGCAAGUCGAGCGAUUCUCUUCGGAGAAGAGCGGCGGACGGGUGAGUAACGCGUGGGUAACCUGCCCUGUACACACGGAUAACAUACCGAAAGGUAUGCUAAUACGAGAUGAUAUGCUUUUAUCGCAUGGUAGAAGUAUCAAAGCUUUGCGGUACAGGAUGGACCCGCGUCUGAUUAGCUAGUUGGUAAGGUAACGGCUUACCAAGGCGACGAUCAGUAGCCGACCUGAGAGGGUGAUCGGCCACAUUGGAACUGAGACACGGUCCAAACUCCUACGGGAGGCAGCAGUGGGGAAUAUUGCACAAUGGGCGAAAGCCUGAUGCAGCAACGCCGCGUGAGCGAUGAAGGCCUUCGGGUCGUAAAGCUCUGUCCUCAAGGAAGAUAAUGACGGUACUUGAGGAGGAAGCCCCGGCUAACUACGUG
RNAcentral lists this ribosomal RNA (451 nucleotides) under uncultured bacterium. RNAcentral describes it as "bacterial SSU rRNA". It matches the Rfam family "Bacterial small subunit ribosomal RNA", at positions 28 to 507 of the family's 1533-position model. The record is from RNAcentral.